UACGGAGGAUGCAAGCGUUAUCCGGAAUUAUUGGGCGUAAAGCGUGCGCAGGCGGCAGUUCAAGUCUGCUGUGAAAGACCGGGGCUUAACUUCGGAAAGGCAGUGGAAACUGAACAGCUAGAGUAUGGUAGGGGCAGAGGGAAUUCCUGGUGUAGCGGUGAAAUGCGUAGAGAUCAGGAAGAACAUCGGUGGCGAAGGCGAUCUGCUGGACCAUAACUGACACUCAGGGACGAAAGCUAGGGGAGCGAAUGGG
This 253-nucleotide ribosomal RNA is filed under the name uncultured bacterium. RNAcentral describes it as "partial 16S ribosomal RNA". It matches the Rfam family "Bacterial small subunit ribosomal RNA", at positions 524 to 776 of the family's 1533-position model. The record is from RNAcentral.